AGCAAACAAAUUUUAUAAAUUUUUUCCCCCAGAGAAAAUGCAGCGUUUGCAAUACGUCCUAGGGAUACCUCAACUGGCUACUCCUCAUGUGGUUACUAGAGGUGCUUCCUGGGGCAGUGUCUUCAACCUCUCAUCACUUAGGGCCUAUGACUUCCAGGGACCAAAUACAUUUGGCCUUUCAACUUUUUAGUAUAUAACUUCCAGGGGUGGCUCUAGACUUUGCGAGGCUUUAGGCGUAAACUCAAACAUGAGGCCCAUUAGCGUGUUUAUAAG
This is a non-coding RNA of Pelobates cultripes (western spadefoot toad), 273 nucleotides long. The record is from the annotation of a GenBank genome assembly. Lineage: Eukaryota; Metazoa; Chordata; Amphibia; Anura; Pelobatidae.